UGCGUAGGCGGAUCAAUAAGUCAGUGGUGAAAUCUCUCGGCUCAACCGGGAAACUGCCAUUGAUACUGUUGAUCUUGAGUUCGGUUGAGGUAGGCGGAAUGUGUAAUGUAGCGGUGAAAUGCUUAGAUAUUACACAGAACACCAAUUGCGUAGGCAGCUUACUGGACCGACACUGACGCUGAGGCACGAAAGCGUGGGGAGCGAACAGGAUUAGAUACCCUGGUAGUCC
RNAcentral lists this ribosomal RNA (229 nucleotides) under uncultured bacterium. RNAcentral describes it as "partial 16S ribosomal RNA". It matches the Rfam family "Bacterial small subunit ribosomal RNA", at positions 568 to 796 of the family's 1533-position model. The record is from RNAcentral.